GGAAAUGGUUCCAAUCGUUUUUCCACCAUUAAUUUUUUCCUUACUGGAUUAUAGAAACACUUAAAAUAAGGGCUGUGUUUCGUGUAGGCUUACCUUGGAGUGACGUUUUGAUAAUUGUGUAAAUCUCUCUAGGUCCAGGACAAGAUGUCUUAUCAAUAUAUUCGCUUGUAUUUACCCCUAAAAAUGAAAUGCUAAUUAGCUGUUAAUGUGGCUAUCAUAAUGAACUAAAAAUGCCAUGAAUGAUCUGGAUGAGACUGCGGAAUCGAGGCAAAUGUAAGAAUCUCUGGAUUAACUAUAUCUAAUGUUAGAAAAAUGUACUAAUGAAUAAGUCAUUUCUUUAAAUUGACAAUUCUGUGAACUGUCUUGUGCAAGUUUUACAUUGACACAAUAUACCUGUUUGCAAAGGUCAGCUCGACAUGACGUGCAGGAGCUGGCAGAGAUUUGUAGUCUUGCAUGAUGUCUACUUUGACGCUAAUUAGCAUUUUCUAAUCUGAGAGUAAAUAGAGCCGAAUAUAUUGAUUAAAGUCACCUUGUCCAAGAGCGAUUUAAAUGGUUAUCAAAACAUCAUGCCAGGGUAAGCCUACACGAAACACAGCCCUUAUUAAGUGUCUCUAAAAUUCCCUAUGGGGAAAAAUGAAUGGUGGAAAAACGAUUGGAACCAUUUCCCUGUUUGGGUAUUAUGACACCGCCACUUUGGGGCUCUAUAGCAGGGAUAGGCAACUCUGUUCCUGGAGUGCAGCAGGUACUACAGGAUUUUGUUCCAACUAGGCACCACACCUGACCAACUGAGCUAAUUGAUCAGUUCAAUGAUUGCCUAAAUUCAACAGACCCGCUGUUCCAGAUUGGACCACGACCUCACUCUGACCCUCAAGGCCGUUACCCUCCUAACCACAAACACCCAGUGGCUGCUAGACCUGACACCUUGGCCCCACGUACAUCCUCACCAAGCAAUCUGGGCAGCUCGCUCCCCCCCCGACUCAAGCCCUAGCCCCCUCAGACCAGUCAUCAGCCAUCCCUCCGGACUCUGCUACCGUCCCCUUCCCGGACCCCACCACAUCCCUCCUCCCCCACCCUUCAUGCCUCCCGUGUACAGACCAGACAACGGACACUCAGGCAUGAUGCCUCCUGGACCCCCACCACCUAACGGACACCCGCCUCGUCCCAUGAUACCACCCGGACAUCGGCCUCCACCUCCUGGUGCUCACGGUCCCCCUUCCCCACACAACCGGUACCUUCCUCCACCUCCUCACUAUGGACCUGUGCCUCCCCC
This 1270-nucleotide long non-coding RNA is filed under the name Salmo salar (Atlantic salmon). Its description in RNAcentral is "lncRNA (ENSSSAG00000119147.1)". The record is from RNAcentral. Lineage: Eukaryota; Metazoa; Chordata; Actinopteri; Salmoniformes; Salmonidae.